AUGUGUGUCCCCCCCGUUGCAGGAGGCUGCAGCCCCCCAGGGAUUAUUUUCAGCCCCCCCCCAAUCCAUCCACCCCAGUCUCCCUGCCCCGUGCAGGCACCUGCCCGCUCCCCAUGCCCCGUGAGGGGCUGUUGGGCAUGGAGCUGGCAAGGGCAACGUCCCCGUGCCCCCAUAGAAACCCAAAUCAGUCUGCACGCCCCCCCCCCAGCCCUCCUGGCCCCCCGAUGUGGCCCUCGCCCCCCCCCCCCCCCCCGCAGUGUGAUUUACAGGCUCUGCGCAGGCGGACAAAUGGUGAAGGAAAACAGGGCUGGGGCCCCACGGCGAGGGGCUGCCCGCACCCCGCGGGGGGCAGAGGGGCCGUUUGCUGCCAUGGGGAGGGGGGGGACACACAGCGCAGCCCCCCCAGCACACGUGGGGACAGCCCGGAGGGGACCCUGCUGCCCCACAAGCUCUGCUCCUCAUCCUCAGGGCUUUGGCCGUAGGGCGCAGCGGGACGUGGUGCCACCUCGCCCCCUGGCUCUGGGUGCCAGGACCCCCCCCCCCCAAAUCCCUUUCUCCCUGGGUAUUUGCAGCCUGUUCUCUGUGCCCCCAGCCCCCAGCAGCUCCCGGAGUUCCCCCUUUUUGCCUCAUUCCUCCACGGGGCCGGAGGCCAGACGGGGAGCACGGCUCACAGGGGACAGCCCUGCGGCCACCACCGGCCCCGAUCCCAGCCCAGCAGCUCCUGCAGCCACGUCCCCAACAGCCCAGGGCCAUUUGCCCAGGGCCGGGCCCUUCUCCCCUUUUGCCUCCCCCCUCCUGCUGUCCCCCCGGAGCUCAGGAUUUGGUUUUCCCAGAGCCAACAGGAGAAAAAGCUCCACUGCCCGUGCGCCUGGCAGGGUGCGGGGUCCAAGGGGACCUCGUCCCUGUCCCGCUCGGCACGCGUGGUGCCAGCCCUGGGGACACAGAGGGCGAGGGGCUGCGGGGCUCAGCCUCACCUCGUGUCCCCAGGGCACAAACCUGUCCCCGUGGGCCGUGCCCCCCCCGGUUGAUGUCCCCCUGGUGAAGGAACCCGCUGCCAAUCCUCCCGGUUGA
This 1071-nucleotide long non-coding RNA is filed under the name Anas platyrhynchos (mallard). RNAcentral's name for it is "lncRNA (ENSAPLG00020006007.1)". The record is from RNAcentral. Lineage: Eukaryota; Metazoa; Chordata; Aves; Anseriformes; Anatidae.